Molecule: ribosomal RNA, 450 nt
Filed under: uncultured Glomeromycotina
Lineage: Eukaryota; Fungi; Glomeromycota
Description: SSU rRNA
Rfam family: Eukaryotic small subunit ribosomal RNA
Source: RNAcentral
AGCAGCCGCGAUAAUUACAGCUCCAAUAGCGUAUAUUAAAGUUGUUGCAGUUAAAAAGCUCGUAGUUGAAUUUCGGGAUCAGUACGCUGGUCAUGCCUUUGGUAUGCACUGGUGUCACUGGUUUCUCCCUUCUGAAGAACCGUGAUGUCAUUAAUUUGGUGUCGCGGGGAAUCAGGACUGUUACUUUGAAAAAUUAGAGUGUUUAAAGCAGGCUCACGCUUGAAUACAUUAGCAUGGAAUAAUGAAAUAGGACGUUUGACCCUAUUUUGUUGGUUUCUAGGAUCGACGUAAUGAUUAAUAGGGAUAGUUGGGGGCAUUAGUAUUCAAUUGUCAGAGGUGAAAUUCUUGGAUUUAUUGAAGACUAACUACUGCGAAAGCAUUUGCCAAGGAUGUUUUCAUUAAUCAAGAACGAAAGUUAGGGGAUCGAAGACGAUCAGAUACCGUCGUAGU